This 341-nucleotide unclassified non-coding RNA is filed under the name uncultured fungus. RNAcentral describes it as "sequence contains ITS1". The stretch from base 1 to 105 matches the Rfam family "5.8S ribosomal RNA", at positions 50 to 154 of the family's 154-position model. The record is from RNAcentral. Lineage: Eukaryota; Fungi.
AAAAUGCGAUACGCAAUGCGAAUUGCAGAAUUCCGCGAAUCAUCAGAUCCUUGAACGCAACUGGCGCUGGGGGGAUAUCCUCCCAGCAUGCCUGUUUCAGUGUCUGAUAACCUCCAAGAACAUCAUAAUGUGUUUGACAAGGGGUGGGCCAACUCUGGCUCAUACAAUAUUCCCGAGUCUUACAUGAAAGAUGUAUGUGUGGGUCUUUGGAUCCAUCGAAUUGGUCACUGAGACUUCAGUGAUUUCGAUAGGAAAUCCAAUUACUCGUAUGCACAUAGAAAUAUUUAUAUCAUCUCUAAUAUCUGCAUCUGAAAUCAGGCAAGAACACCCGCUGAACUUAA